RNAcentral lists this ribosomal RNA (2494 nucleotides) under Salmonella enterica subsp. enterica serovar Typhimurium. RNAcentral's name for it is "partial 23S ribosomal RNA". It matches the Rfam family "Bacterial large subunit ribosomal RNA", at positions 434 to 2824 of the family's 2925-position model. The record is from RNAcentral. Lineage: Bacteria; Pseudomonadati; Pseudomonadota; Gammaproteobacteria; Enterobacterales; Enterobacteriaceae.
CUGUCUGAAUAUGGGGGGACCAUCCUCCAAGGCUAAAUACUCCUGACUGACCGAUAGUGAACCAGUACCGUGAGGGAAAGGCGAAAAGAACCCCGGCGAGGGGAGUGAAAAAGAACCUGAAACCGUGUACGUACAAGCAGUGGGAGCACAGGUUUACCUGUGUGACUGCGUACCUUUUGUAUAAUGGGUCAGCGACUUAUAUUCUGUAGCAAGGUUAACCGUAUAGGGGAGCCGUAGGGAAACCGAGUCUUAACCGGGCGUUAAGUUGCAGGGUAUAGACCCGAAACCCGGUGAUCUAGCCAUGGGCAGGUUGAAGGUUGGGUAACACUAACUGGAGGACCGAACCGACUAAUGUUGAAAAAUUAGCGGAUGACCUGUGGCUGGGGGUGAAAGGCCAAUCAAACCGGGAGAUAGCUGGUUCUCCCCGAAAGCUAUUUAGGUAGCGCCUCGUGAAUUCAUCUCCGGGGGUAGAGCACUGUUUCGGCUAGGGGGCCAUCCCGGCUUACCAACCCGAUGCAAACUGCGAAUACCGGAGAAUGUUAUCACGGGAGACACACGGCGGGUGCUAACGUCCGUCGUGAAGAGGGAAACAACCCAGACCGCCAGCUAAGGUCCCAAAGUCAUGGUUAAGUGGGAAACGAUGUGGGAAGGCCCAGACAGCCAGGAUGUUGGCUUAGAAGCAGCCAUCAUUUAAAGAAAGCGUAAUAGCUCACUGGUCGAGUCGGCCUGCGCGGAAGAUGUAACGGGGCUAAACCAUGCACCGAAGCUGCGGCAGCGAACGUAUCACCCAAGACAACUUUACGGAGUUGACGAUUGACGGAGCGAAGCGACGUCAAAGCGUUCAUUAAAGUCGAGUUGGCUUAGGGAUACGUUCGUUGGGUAGGGGAGCGUUCUGUAAGCCUGUGAAGGUGUGUCGUGAGGCAUGCUGGAGGUAUCAGAAGUGCGAAUGCUGACAUAAGUAACGAUAAAGCGGGUGAAAAGCCCGCUCGCCGGAAGACCAAGGGUUCCUGUCCAACGUUAAUCGGGGCAGGGUGAGUCGACCCCUAAGGCGAGGCCGAAAGGCGUAGUCGAUGGGAAACGGGUUAAUAUUCCCGUACUUGGUGUUACUGCGAAGGGGGGACGGAGAAGGCUAUGUUGGCCGGGCGACGGUUGUCCCGGUUUAAGCGUGUAGGUGUGUGUUCCAGGUAAAUCCGGUUCACUUUAACACUGAGGCGUGACGACGAGGCACUACGGUGCUGAAGCAACAAAUGCCCUGCUUCCAGGAAAAGCCUCUAAGCAUCAGGUAACACGAAAUCGUACCCCAAACCGACACAGGUGGUCAGGUAGAGAAUACCAAGGCGCUUGAGAGAACUCGGGUGAAGGAACUAGGCAAAAUGGUGCCGUAACUUCGGGAGAAGGCACGCUGACACGUAGGUGAAGUGAUUUACUCAUGGAGCUGAAGUCAGUCGAAGAUACCAGCUGGCUGCAACUGUUUAUUAAAAACACAGCACUGUGCAAACACGAAAGUGGACGUAUACGGUGUGACGCCUGCCCGGUGCCGGAAGGUUAAUUGAUGGGGUCAGCGUAAGCGAAGCUCCUGAUCGAAGCCCCGGUAAACGGCGGCCGUAACUAUAACGGUCCUAAGGUAGCGAAAUUCCUUGUCGGGUAAGUUCCGACCUGCACGAAUGGCGUAAUGAUGGCCAGGCUGUCUCCACCCGAGACUCAGUGAAAUUGAACUCGCUGUGAAGAUGCAGUGUACCCGCGGCAAGACGGAAAGACCCCGUGAACCUUUACUAUAGCUUGACACUGAACAUUGAGCCUUGAUGUGUAGGAUAGGUGGGAGGCUUUGAAGUGUGGACGCCAGUCUGCAUGGAGCCGACCUUGAAAUACCACCCUUUAAUGUUUGAUGUUCUAACGUGGACCCGUAAUCCGGGUUGCGGACAGUGUCUGGUGGGUAGUUUGACUGGGGCGGUCUCCUCCUAAAGAGUAACGGAGGAGCACGAAGGUUGGCUAAUCCUGGUCGGACAUCAGGAGGUUAGUGCAAUGGCAUAAGCCAGCUUGACUGCGAGCGUGACGGCGCGAGCAGGUGCGAAAGCAGGUCAUAGUGAUCCGGUGGUUCUGAAUGGAAGGGCCAUCGCUCAACGGAUAAAAGGUACUCCGGGGAUAACAGGCUGAUACCGCCCAAGAGUUCAUAUCGACGGCGGUGUUUGGCACCUCGAUGUCGGCUCAUCACAUCCUGGGGCUGAAGUAGGUCCCAAGGGUAUGGCUGUUCGCCAUUUAAAGUGGUACGCGAGCUGGGUUUAGAACGUCGUGAGACAGUUCGGUCCCUAUCUGCCGUGGGCGCUGGAGAACUGAGGGGGGCUGCUCCUAGUACGAGAGGACCGGAGUGGACGCAUCACUGGUGUUCGGGUUGUCAUGCCAAUGGCACUGCCCGGUAGCUAAAUGCGGAAGAGAUAAGUGCUGAAAGCAUCUAAGCACGAAACUUGCCCCGAGAUGAGUUCUCCCUGAGACUUAG